GCCUGAUGAUCAAUCCAAUCCAAGUACUUGCUAAUUGGAUCAUCUAAUCUCCUCACAUAUCAUAUAUACAAAAAUUUAGAUCAAAUCUAAAUUAUAUCAGAUCUGAUUUUUAUAUUAGAUCAUAUCUAAAAUUAUAUCAUAACACAAUUCUUCAUGAUGCUCGACAGCCGCAUACAUAUUCGACCUCUAUAGGUAUCCACACGAAGCCCAUGUGCUGAUCGAUGACCCCGAAAGUACUAGCUUGCGAAGACA
Molecule: long non-coding RNA, 252 nt
Filed under: Elaeis guineensis (African oil palm)
Lineage: Eukaryota; Viridiplantae; Streptophyta; Magnoliopsida; Arecales; Arecaceae
Description: long non-coding RNA (EGUI_LNC044362)
Source: RNAcentral